GGAGAAUUUUCAAAUAGUCUCAUCCCAUCAUAUUUUUCUUAUGUCAACUUUUCCAGAAGAUAAAAAAAAAAUAGAGCUUUCGACUUUCCUUCAGCAGUUAGAAGAGGAAAGAGAAAAUGGAGUUGGGGAACAAGGAAAGCACCACUAAGCAGGU
Molecule: long non-coding RNA, 154 nt
Filed under: Pan paniscus (pygmy chimpanzee)
Lineage: Eukaryota; Metazoa; Chordata; Mammalia; Primates; Hominidae
Description: lncRNA (ENSPPAG00000045575.1)
Source: RNAcentral